Molecule: unclassified non-coding RNA, 944 nt
Filed under: Penaeus japonicus
Lineage: Eukaryota; Metazoa; Arthropoda; Malacostraca; Decapoda; Penaeidae
Description: g protein-coupled receptor kinase 1-like, transcript variant X2
Source: RNAcentral
GUCCUCGGAGGAGUGAGGGAGUGCGCGCGUCUCUUGUGACUGGACCAAGUGUAAUGUGGAAAUGAUACGCUCGUAGGGCGAAAAUGUGAUGCUCUGAUGUGCAUCUGGUGUUCAUCUCGUAGUUCAUGCCAUUGCCAAGCGACUAACCCCGUGUUAACUUAGUGUGUUCUCAUAUUUAGUGCAGGCCAAAUAAGAAAUCGCCAAGAUGGCCGACCUGGAGGCAGUGCUGGCUGAUGUUAGCUAUUUGAUGGCGAUGGAGAAGAGUAAAUCUACUCCAGCAGCGAGAGCCAGCAAGAAGAUCAUCUUACCAGACCCAAGGUAUGUGGUCCCCCCACCCCAGCCCACCCCGAGAGGCGACGUCGGCUCAUCUCCUUUAAGUAUAAGAAGCACGGUCGUUCUCACAACUUCGUGAGAUGACCAGGCGUAGAGGCGCAUUUUCUCUCUCCAUAGUCGUCUGCAUGAACAGCCUCAUACACUGUCAUGGACAUCUUCAUGUGGGAAUUCGUCCGUUUUGCUUUUUUUUUUCCCUGUUCUCGCUGGUCACUCUGGCUGGUGCCUGAAGCGCCUCUCGAACAGCAAGGAUUUUGUGAAGGAGGGAAGGGGAAGGCAAGGGAGGGGAUGUGGGAGAGACGAAGAAGAAGAAGAAGAAGAAGAAGAAGAAGAAGAAGAAGAAGAAGAGGAAGAGGAAGAGGAAGAGGAAGUGGAGGAAGCAGAGGAAGCAGAAGCAGGAGGAGAGCGCCAAAGCAGGGCAAUGGAAAAGUGAGUUCCAAAAGGCACUCGCUCCGGGGAAAAGUUCAUCGAACUUUUGUGUCGCUGGACUUUAUGACUUUAGCCCCUUCCAUUUUUAUGAAAGAGGAAAAACUCGUGAUAUGGGAGGUCUUCUUGGAAAAGGGUCGCAUUCUCUCCCCCUCCACGGUCCCCUCCACCAACUCCCUACCCCUUCU